RNAcentral lists this unclassified non-coding RNA (227 nucleotides) under plant metagenome. Its description in RNAcentral is "partial contains small subunit ribosomal RNA, internal transcribed spacer 1, and 5.8S ribosomal RNA". The record is from RNAcentral.
UCUCCGUAGGUGAACCUGCGGAGGGAUCAUUACAGAGUUCAUGCCCUACGGGUAUAUCUCCACCCUAUGUUAUCGUUACCUUUGUUGCUUUGGCGGGCCGUCAGGCCUCGGUCAGACUACCGGCUCCGGCUGGUAAGUGCCCGCCAGAGGAUAUCAAACCUUGAAUUUAAUGUCGUCUGAGUACUAUAUAAUAGUUAAAACUUUCAACAACGGAUCUCUUGGUUCUG